RNAcentral lists this ribosomal RNA (383 nucleotides) under uncultured eukaryote. RNAcentral's name for it is "partial 18S ribosomal RNA". It matches the Rfam family "Eukaryotic small subunit ribosomal RNA", at positions 592 to 976 of the family's 1831-position model. The record is from RNAcentral.
CAAUAGCGUAUAUUAAAGUUGUUGCAGUUAAAAAGCUCGUAGUUGGAUUUCUGGUGGGAGCGAUCGGUCUGGCGCUUAGCGCGAGUACUUGCAUCGUCUCCGGCCAUCCUUGGGGAGAGUCUGUCUGGCAUUAAGUUGUCGGGCAGAGGAUCCUCAUCGUUUACUGUGAAAAAAUUAGAGUGUUCAAAGCAGGCUUAUGCCGUUGAAUAUAUUAGCAUGGAAUAAUAAGAUAGGACUUUGGUACUAUUUUGCUGGUUUGCGCACCAAAGUAAUGAUUAAUAGGGACAGUUGGGGGUAUUCGUAUUCCGUUGUCAGAGGUGAAAUUCUUGGAUUUACGGAAGACGAACUACUGCGAAAGCAUUUACCAAGGAUGUUUUCAUUAA